CAAAGUAUCUUCUGCCCACUGAUUUGACUAAAUGGCCGCAGUACCCUGACUGUGCAAAGGUAGCGUGAUUUUUUGUUUUCUUAAUUUGAAAUCUGUUCAAAGAAUGAUAUGUCGAAAAUCUCUUGUUACUUGUUUUCUAUAACUUGAAUUUAUAGUGAAAAUUCUAUAUUAUUCCCGAAAGACGAGAAGACCCCAUAAAGCUUAAUUAGACUUCUAUCCUUUGUUAGAUUUAUAAUUUGUAUGGGGCCUACAGAGUUUAAAUUUGACUCGUGUACCCUUUGACCUAUUUUAUAUUCUAUGAGAAGCUACUUUGGGGAUAACAGGAUAACGUUUUCGGAGAGUUCUUAUCGAUGAAGGCAAUUAUUACCUCGAUGUGGAUUAUCUUUUCA
RNAcentral lists this ribosomal RNA (389 nucleotides) under Euchlanis dilatata. Its description in RNAcentral is "partial 16S ribosomal RNA". It matches the Rfam family "Bacterial large subunit ribosomal RNA", at positions 1896 to 2547 of the family's 2925-position model. Lineage: Eukaryota; Metazoa; Rotifera; Eurotatoria; Ploima; Brachionidae. The record is from RNAcentral.